This 468-nucleotide ribosomal RNA is filed under the name uncultured bacterium. Its description in RNAcentral is "partial 16S ribosomal RNA". It matches the Rfam family "Bacterial small subunit ribosomal RNA", at positions 28 to 507 of the family's 1533-position model. The record is from RNAcentral.
GACGAACGCUGGCGGCGUGCUUAACACAUGCAAGUCGAACGGAAAGGCCCUGCUUUUGUGGGGUGCUCGAGUGGCGAACGGGUGAGUAACACGUGAGUAACCUGCCCUUGACUUUGGGAUAACUUCAGGAAACUGGGGCUAAUACCGGAUAGGAGCUCCUGCUGCAUGGGGGGGGUUGGAAAGUGUCGGCGGUGGGGGAUGGACUCGCGGCUUAUCAGCUUGUUGGUGGGGUAGUUGCUUACCAAGGCUUUGACGGGUAGCCGGCCUGAGAGGGUGACCGGCCACAUUGGGACUGAGAUACGGCCCAGACUCCUACGGGAGGCAGCAGUGGGGAAUAUUGCACAAUGGGCGGAAGCCUGAUGCAGCAACGCCGCGUGCGGGAUGACGGCCUUCGGGUUGUAAACCGCUUUCGCCUGUGACGAAGCGUGAGUGACGGUAAUGGGUAAAGAAGCACCGGCUAACUACGUG